Phascolarctos cinereus (koala) is the source of this 249-nucleotide long non-coding RNA. RefSeq lists it as uncharacterized. Lineage: Eukaryota; Metazoa; Chordata; Mammalia; Diprotodontia; Phascolarctidae. The record is from RefSeq and is a predicted model, not a curated record.
GGCGUCGUGUGCUUGGGGCUCAACGACAUGGCUCGGCGGGCGGGCAGGUUCUUCUUGAUCUCGAAAACCUUCGUAUGUCUUCGCCUUUCGCUGCGCUCUCCUUGUCUACUUUAUUAUCACAGCUCAAAGAAGUUAUUAAGCUUCUGCUGGGAUUCUCCUGAACUACAGUUUGCUUUAGAUCUUUGCUUUGAUUCAAGUUUUUCAUUCCAAUUAUUUUAUCAGUUUGAAUAAAAACUAGUUUGAAAAGUC